CCUACGGGGAGGCAGCAGUGGGGAAUAUUGCACAAUGGGGGAAACCCUGAUGCAGCCAUGCCGCGUGUGUGAAGAAGGCCUUCGGGUUGUAAAGCACUUUCAGUAGGGAGGAAGGUAGUGUAGUUAACACCUGCAUUAUUUGACGUUACCUACAGAAGAAGCACCGGCUAACUCCGUGCCAGCAGCCGCGGUAAUACGGAGGGUGCGAGCGUUAAUCGGAAUUACUGGGCGUAAAGCGCAUGCAGGCGGCCUGUUAAGUCAGAUGUGAAAGCCCGGGGCUUAACCUCGGAAUUGCAUUUGAAACUGGCAGGCUAGAGUCUUGUAGAGGGGGGUAGGAAUUUCAGGUGUAGCGGUGAAAUGCGUAGAGAUCUGAAGGAAUACCAGUGGCGAAGGUGGCCCCCUGGACAAAGACUGACGCUCAGAUGCGAAAGCGUGGGGAGCAAACAGGAUUAGAUACCCUGGUAG
This 465-nucleotide ribosomal RNA is filed under the name uncultured bacterium. RNAcentral's name for it is "bacterial SSU rRNA". It matches the Rfam family "Bacterial small subunit ribosomal RNA", at positions 338 to 793 of the family's 1533-position model. The record is from RNAcentral.